RNAcentral lists this ribosomal RNA (233 nucleotides) under uncultured bacterium. RNAcentral describes it as "partial 16S ribosomal RNA". It matches the Rfam family "Bacterial small subunit ribosomal RNA", at positions 104 to 334 of the family's 1533-position model. The record is from RNAcentral.
CGGGGUGGAGUAACGCGUGGAUAACCUGCCUCACACAGGGGAGUAACAGUUAGAAAUGACUGCUAAUACCGCAUAAACGCACGGUACCGCAUGGUACAGUGUGAAAAACUCCGGUGGUGUGAGAUGGAUCCGCGUCUGAUUAGGUAGUUGGUGAGGUAACGGCCCACCAAGCCGACGAUCAGUAGCCGACCUGAGAGGGUGACCGGCCACAUUGGGACUGAGACACGGCCCAA